RNAcentral lists this long non-coding RNA (368 nucleotides) under Homo sapiens (human). RNAcentral describes it as "HSALNT0304475". The record is from RNAcentral. Lineage: Eukaryota; Metazoa; Chordata; Mammalia; Primates; Hominidae.
UUCCGUCUUGCCAGCCCAUUCUCUCUAAUGACUGUCUCCCUCGCUGGAUGUGAUGAAGUAGGCUACAUUAUGCAGCACCCCAUGAAACAAAGAAUUGAGUGUGACCACCAGGCAACAUCUGGCAAGGAACUGAGUUCCAACAGUGCACAAGGAAGUGAAUCCUGACAACAGUCCCAAGAGCUUAGGAGUGAAUCCUUCUCCACUCCAGCCUCAGAUAAGUCUUGCCCUUAAUUGCAGCCUCAUGAAAGACUCUGAAACCUUGGGCCCAGUUUCUUGCAGCUUGGUGUGGUGGAUCUCACCUGUAAUCCCAGGACUUUGGGAGGCCGAGGCAAGAGGAUUGCUUGAGACCAGGAGAUGAAGACCAGCCU